Molecule: small RNA, 550 nt
Filed under: Pan troglodytes (chimpanzee)
Lineage: Eukaryota; Metazoa; Chordata; Mammalia; Primates; Hominidae
Description: retained intron
Source: RNAcentral
UACUGCAGAUGCCGCUAUCACCAUGGGGAUGGUUCUUCUAAAUGAAGCAGCAACUUCGAAAGGCGAUGUUGGAAAAAGACGGAUAAUUUGCCUAGUGGGAUUGGGCCUGGUGGUCUUCUUCUUCAGUUUUCUACUUUCGAUAUUUCGUUCCAAGUACCACGGCUAUCCUUAUAGGUAAUAUCUUUAUACUAACAUGAAUGUUUUUAUUUUUAACUAAUAGAGAGUUUCAGUGGUUAAUAUAUAAUUAAGGAUGAAUAUAAAGUUGCUGUGUGGUUUUUUAAAUUCAGUUAAGCAAGUUUUUGAGCACCUGCCAUGUGUUCAGCAUAGUGAAGUACACAAAGGAGAUAUAAGGCAUGGUUCUUGUUCCCUGACAGCAUAUAGUUUCUUUCUAGACAUACAUAUUUUUAUAUAACAAAUGAGGUUUAAGCUCAUUUUGAGGACUUGAAAAUUUUAUCUUCCCUUAGUUUGUCAUGAUUUCGACUUCAUUUGCAAGAUUGUUUUCUCAUAUAAUUCACUGUUCAUUGUCUAAUAAACUUUGUAUUAUCUUUUG